This 338-nucleotide long non-coding RNA is filed under the name Trifolium pratense (red clover). Its description in RNAcentral is "long non-coding RNA (TPRA_LNC003963)". Lineage: Eukaryota; Viridiplantae; Streptophyta; Magnoliopsida; Fabales; Fabaceae. The record is from RNAcentral.
AAAAACGAGGUAUAUUCCGAAUCUGUUACAAUAAUUAAUAAUUUAGCACUCUGUUCUUAUCCUCAAACACGCCAACCAAUAAAGCGACAAAAAACAUAAACUUAUCAUCCAAGUCAAGCCAUUCCCAAAAGGGUAUCUUCGUCAUUCCACUUGAUCUCCAACCAUUUAUACUUGUCAUCUUCCACGAACAAAUCGCUUCCAAUUUCUUCAUCAUUACCAAAUUCUUAUACAAUCAAUAUAUAAUAAUAAUAAUAAUAAUAAUAAUAAUAAUAGCCUAAUUCACAUUAAUAAUCAUUACUCUAAUAAUAACCAAAUUAAAUUCAUUCAUUCUAUUUNNN